Molecule: ribosomal RNA, 890 nt
Filed under: Megaphragma sp.
Lineage: Eukaryota; Metazoa; Arthropoda; Insecta; Hymenoptera; Trichogrammatidae
Description: partial large subunit ribosomal RNA
Rfam family: Eukaryotic large subunit ribosomal RNA
Source: RNAcentral
ACCCAAAAGAUCGAAUGGGGAGAUUCAUCGUCAGCUUUAUCGGCUUGCGUGCUGCUCGCGAUGCUCGCUUUGGUUAAGCGUGUAACAGCGUUUAGCUUUUUAAAGCGGGCACGCGGUAGCUGCGUAAUUAUUGUCCGGUCAAAGUCGGCGUGCACUUCUCCCCUAGUAGGACGUCGCGACCCGUUGAGUGUCGGUCAAAGGCCCGAUUUGGUUGACUGCCGGUCAUUGGCUGCGCAAGUAUCCAAUUUUCCGAUCGGUAGACCAUUUCGAUCGCCCGGCCGACUGCUCGGCGGUAAAAAAUCGUUUGAAAUUCAUAAUGGUAUCGAGCCGCAUGAUGAAUGCGUUCUUUUGGCUCGUCGGCAGGGGAGCCUCGUUUUCUCGGAUUUUACGGACCUAGCGCCGUUGUCGAGCGAGCGUUUCUUUUUGAAAAAAAUUGCCGACGAUGUCCUCGGACGGGCUCUAUAAAGGAGAAUUUUUAUAAUUCUCCUUUUGUUACCAGUCAGCGACGCUACUGCUUUGGGUACUUUCAGGACCCGUCUUGAAACACGGACCAAGGAGUCUAACAUGUGCGCGAGUCAUUGGGACUUGUUUAUAAACUAAGCCUAAAGGCGCAAUGAAAGUGAAGGUCCGCUCUGAUGCGCGACCGAGGGAGGAUGACUCGGUAGAAAAAAGUAAAGGGAAAAAAAAAUUUUUUUUUUUUUUUUUUAUUUUUUUUUUUUUAACCCGAGUCCGCACUCCCGGGGCGUCUCGUGCUCAUUGCGAGCUGAGGCGCACCCAGAGCGUACACGUUGGGACCCGAAAGAUGGUGAACUAUGCCUGGUCAGGACGAAGUCAGGGGAAACCCUGAUGGAGGUCCGUAGCGAUUCUGACGUGCAAAUCGAUCGUCGGAA